GGAGGCGUGGUGUAGCGGCCUAACAUGCGUCCCUGUCAAGGACGAGAUCGCCGGUUCGAAUCCGGUCGCUUCCG
RNAcentral lists this transfer RNA (74 nucleotides) under Chloroflexota bacterium. RNAcentral describes it as "tRNA-Asp". It matches the Rfam family "tRNA". Rfam says of the family: Transfer RNA (tRNA) molecules are approximately 80 nucleotides in length. Their secondary structure includes four short double-helical elements and three loops (D, anti-codon, and T loops). Further hydrogen bonds mediate the characteristic L-shaped molecular structure. tRNAs have two regions of fundamental functional importance: the anti-codon, which is responsible for specific mRNA codon recognition, and the 3' end, to which the tRNAs corresponding amino acid is attached (by aminoacyl-tRNA synthetases). tRNAs cope with the degeneracy of the genetic code in two manners: having more than one tRNA (with a specific anti-codon) for a particular amino acid; and 'wobble' base-pairing, i.e. permitting non-standard base-pairing at the 3rd anti-codon position. RNAcentral also lists the same sequence under 1 other name. The record is from RNAcentral. Lineage: Bacteria; Bacillati; Chloroflexota.